This 36-nucleotide ribosomal RNA is filed under the name Prospero obtusifolium. The record is from RNAcentral. Lineage: Eukaryota; Viridiplantae; Streptophyta; Magnoliopsida; Asparagales; Asparagaceae.
GGGUGCGAUCAUACCAGCACUAAAACAUCGAAUUCC